RNAcentral lists this small nuclear RNA (84 nucleotides) under Bombyx mori (domestic silkworm). Lineage: Eukaryota; Metazoa; Arthropoda; Insecta; Lepidoptera; Bombycidae. The record is from RNAcentral.
GUACUUGCUUUGGCAGUACAUAUACUAAAAUUGGAACGAUACAGAGAAGAUGACACGCAAAAUCGUGAAGCGUUCCACAUUAUU